RNAcentral lists this ribosomal RNA (361 nucleotides) under Opharus consimilis. RNAcentral's name for it is "partial 28S ribosomal RNA". Lineage: Eukaryota; Metazoa; Arthropoda; Insecta; Lepidoptera; Erebidae. The record is from RNAcentral.
GAGAGAUUCAUCGUCAUUCCGCGGCGUACGGGCUGCGCGCUUCGAUGUCGUCGACCUCGGUCCUCUGACACGACGCGCGUCCGUCGACGUCCGCGGACGGCGUGCACUUCUCUCUUAGUAAAUACAUCGCGACCCGUUCGAUGUCGGUCUAAGCGCCGUUCGGGAGCCCCGUGGUCCCCUAACUUUAGGGGUCUGCGGGACCGCGACGGUGGCCGACCGGCCGUCGGACGGUAGUUCUGACGAAACGCGCACGCGUUUAUAACGCGUCCGGCCCGACGCAAGUCAACGUCGUAUCCAACGUACCGCCUUAGCGCGGACGUAGGUGCGGCGCGUCUGUUGUUGCAGCCGUGCAGUCUCGGAC